GGCGCCAUGGCUUGGUGGUAAAGCGCCUGUCUAGUAAACAGGAGAUCCUGGUUUCGAUCCCCAGUGGUGCCU
Molecule: non-coding RNA, 72 nt
Organism: Ciona savignyi (Pacific transparent sea squirt)
Lineage: Eukaryota; Metazoa; Chordata; Ascidiacea; Phlebobranchia; Cionidae
Source: Rfam